Molecule: ribosomal RNA, 144 nt
Filed under: Limimaricola pyoseonensis
Lineage: Bacteria; Pseudomonadati; Pseudomonadota; Alphaproteobacteria; Rhodobacterales; Paracoccaceae
Source: RNAcentral
CGGCCACCGAACAGAUGUUUCUUCCUCGGUCUGGUGGCCAUAGCACGAGCGAAACACCCGAUCCCAUUCCGAACUCGGCCGUUAAGCGCCGUUGCGCUGAUGGUACUGCGUCUCAAGACGUGGGAGAGUAAGUCACCGCCAGAC